This 424-nucleotide ribosomal RNA is filed under the name Verrucomicrobiota bacterium. RNAcentral describes it as "Verrucomicrobia bacterium partial 16S ribosomal RNA". It matches the Rfam family "Bacterial small subunit ribosomal RNA", at positions 355 to 776 of the family's 1533-position model. The record is from RNAcentral. Lineage: Bacteria; Pseudomonadati; Verrucomicrobiota.
UGAGGAAUAUUGGUCAAUGGGCGAGAGCCUGAACCAGCCAAGUAGCGUGCAGGAUGACGGCCCUAUGGGUUGUAAACUGCUUUUACGCGGGGAUAAAGUGCGUGACGUGUCGCGCAUCGCAGGUACCGCGUGAAUAAGGACCGGCUAAUUCCGUGCCAGCAGCCGCGGUAAUACGGAAGGUUCGGGCGUUAUCCGGAUUUAUUGGGUUUAAAGGGAGCGUAGGCCGUUUGGUAAGCGUGUUGUGAAAUGUAGGAGCUCAACUUCUAGAUUGCAGCGCGAACUGUCAGACUUGAGUGCGCACAACGUAGGCGGAAUUCAUGGUGUAGCGGUGAAAUGCUUAGAUAUGACGAGGAACUCCGAUUGCGAAGGCAGCUGACGGGAGCGGCACUGACGCUUAAGCUCGAAGGUGCGGGUAUCAAACAGG